Molecule: long non-coding RNA, 244 nt
Filed under: Elaeis guineensis (African oil palm)
Lineage: Eukaryota; Viridiplantae; Streptophyta; Magnoliopsida; Arecales; Arecaceae
Description: long non-coding RNA (EGUI_LNC005746)
Source: RNAcentral
GUUGAAAAAAUCCAAAUUAUUGGUUUUGGGGGUCACAUGUCAUCUAUCAGAAUGUAUUAACAAAGUUCUUUGAGAAAGCCAAAAAAAAAAAAAAUCCAUGCAUAUGCAUGCAUAAAAUAUGGGGUGUGCACAUAUCAGCUGGGGAUAAAAGUGAAACAAAAUAAGAUCGGGUCCGAAUAAUUUAGUGGCACUUAGUCAAGGGUUGUGAAUUUUGUCCUAGAAAUUUGUUCUCUAUACCCUACUU